Molecule: long non-coding RNA, 2117 nt
Organism: Triticum urartu
Lineage: Eukaryota; Viridiplantae; Streptophyta; Magnoliopsida; Poales; Poaceae
Source: RefSeq, a predicted model, not a curated record
CUGAAUCAGGGGUUGCCUCCCUUUCAAGUUCCUACCCAUCCCGUCCGUUCUACAAGCCAUGGAAGAGAGAGGGCGCAGAUGGGAGCAUGGUGGCCUCUGGACCAUCACGCGGGAAAAGGACAUGCCGAUGCACUGCCGCCCACCUCGCCGCCGCCGCUGCUCGCGUGACGGUUCUCCUCCGUCCACCCCCACCUCCAACUCGAUCUCCGGCUAUCGCAACCCUGCAGAUGGCCAAGUCUGGGUACAAGCACCUGCCGCGCAUCACGGAGGACACAGCCCGCACGCCGCUCUUAGCGUCGUCUUGUACGUGGCCAACUGCGGGCCUACGGUGGUGCCGACCCACGACGAUCUCGCCUUGCCUUUGAGGCCACCGCCACGGAUGACAGCGGCGAGUGUCAUCGUCCGUUUUCAUGAGCCCUCCACCACCGUGGCCGUGAUGGCCGCGUCCCAGUUGCGCUCAAGGCCCUGGUCACCAUCUCUGUUCCCCUGGUGGCUCUCUCGUCGUGCAUUCACUUGGUCGAUGAGUUCGUCACUGCCGUCGAGGAACAUGUCAUUUAACUUGAGUCCCAGCCGUUAAGCUUGUUACUAAUAAGUUUGGGUUCAGUAGAAUAUGUAAUUUUGUUCCUUCUGCAGGAGCUUCUUGCAUAUGUGGACAGGAUGCUGUUGGCUAAUGCAGCUGACUUGUGCCACUCAAACUGCUGAUUUUGUGUUGCAGCCGCUUUCUCACACUGCUGACUUGUGCCACUUCCGCUCAUGGAAUUGACCCAAUUGAAAGUGCUCCUCUCAUGUCUAUUUCUAUCUAGGAAGUCAGACCUUAAUUUAACCAGAUGGCCUACAAUAUCUAGCAACUCAAACCACCGAGUCAUAUUAGAGUAAUUUUUUAAUACAGUCAUAAAACUAUCCAUCAUGACAUGCAAAUUUAUUAUUCUCAUUAGAGGUUAACUAAGUAUUUUUUUUUCAGGCACCUAGACAAAUUCUGGAAGGAGCGGCAUGACUGGGAACGGAACGGAAUAAGUUCAGGGAGUUGUCCGAGAUUCAAUAUGGUUUUCCAUAUGGUUCGGGAUUGAUACAUCAAAGAGUUUAAAAGUGCUAUAUUAUAUACCAAAUAUACUGUUACGCAUAUGAAAUCAUGACACUAAUUAGAUGAGUUCUUUUCACUAAUUUCUGAACAAAUUUCCAUUGUUCAGGUUCUGACUUCAUUUGUUGAGAUUUUGAUUUUUUUUUUACAUGUGAGCAAUGAAAACACCUUAUUAUUUGAGGUUCCUCUGCUUUUGAAUUUGGUAAAUGACAAUUUUCUUCUUCUUAUAGGCAUAGUUAGCCAUCUGAAAUGAUCUAAGGUGCAACUCAGAAUCUGGGUGACAUAGCAACUUCUGCCAGCAGUGCAGAAGAAGAAAGGCACCUGCACAAGCUUUAUUUUCAACGAUGAGGACACUUCAAGAACUUGAAAUUAUCCUGCUAUGUAUUGACUGCUCGGAGCUAACUUGACUAUGCCAGAUUUCUUGUAUGGCUCAAAGUAGUAAGUAUCCCCCCUUAUUAUCAGAGAGGUACUACUUCAAACAUCUCUUCUUAAUGUUUUAUUUCGUGGUAUACAAUAUGAUGGAGUGUUAGAUGGCUUGACUUUUGUGACACUCAUUUAUAACCUUUCAGUUUAGGAGUUUUCGUGGCCUCUUGAUCCAUGAGAGCACUGGCGGAGCUUCGGCAAGGCCGAUUGGGCCGUGGCCCGCCCAAGUCUGGAGCAAAAAGCUAAUUAUAUAGUACUGCAGCUCACAGCGCUGACGGACACCGUACAAGAAACGCAGCAGAGUCGUACGCGUAGGAUUCACAGCGAUGCAGGCUCAGGGUUCGACCGCGACUGCGGCCUCAUAGUGCAGUAGGAAGCACACAUAAGCCGCCGGCUGCCGCGACGCCGGCCGCCGGCCACCGGAGCACCGCACACAUCAGUGUCCCACGGACGGACGGCCAACCGGCACACGUGUAUUCAGCCGACCCACGCGACGACGCAACGGUAGGCGGCGACCCAAGCACCCAACUAGCUAGCUUCUUCUCUCAAUCCAUGAGAAUCACUACUAAUGUGUAUCCCUGCUGAUAGAGGCUAAGGUGUCCCGAUGUUUUGAUGA